CAUACUUGGACUUUAGUUUUUGACAGAGCCCUGAGCAACUGCUCACAAGGGAAAGCAUAUGUAGAUUGAAGCUAUGCAGAAUGAAGUCUCAACAGCUGAAGCUUACUGGGGAACCAAUGGUGCCCUAAAUUAAGAUAAUUUAUGAAAUGUUGGUCUCCCUCUGUUGCUGCCCAGGCUCCAGGCUGAAGUGCAGAGGCAUGAUCUUGGCUCACUGCCGCCUCCUCUUCCCAGGCUCAAGCGAUCCUCCCACAUUUGCCUCCUGAGUAGCUGAGACUACAGUCUUGCCUUGUCACCCAGGCUGGAGUGCAAUGGCACAAUCUCGGCUCACUGCAAUCUCUGCCUCCCAGGUUCAAGUGAUUCUUCUGCCUCAGCCUCCCAAGCAACUGGGACUACAGGAACAAAUGCAGCAACUGCA
Molecule: long non-coding RNA, 415 nt
Filed under: Homo sapiens (human)
Lineage: Eukaryota; Metazoa; Chordata; Mammalia; Primates; Hominidae
Description: HSALNT0334958
Source: RNAcentral